RNAcentral lists this ribosomal RNA (494 nucleotides) under uncultured bacterium. Its description in RNAcentral is "bacterial SSU rRNA". It matches the Rfam family "Bacterial small subunit ribosomal RNA", at positions 16 to 507 of the family's 1533-position model. The record is from RNAcentral.
AUCAUGGCUCAGAUUGAACGCUGGCGGCAUGCUUUACACAUGCAAGUCGAACGGUAACAGGUCUUCGGAUGCUGACGAGUGGCGAACGGGUGAGUAAUGUAUCGGAACGUGCCCAGUAGUGGGGGAUAACUACUCGAAAGAGUGGCUAAUACCGCAUGAGAACUGAGGUUGAAAGCGGGGGACCUUCGGGCCUCGCGCUACUGGAGCGGCCGAUAUCAGAUUAGGUAGUUGGUGGGGUAAAGGCCUACCAAGCCGACGAUCUGCAGCUGGUCUGAGAGGACGACCAGCCACACUGGGACUGAGACACGGCCCAGACUCCUACGGGAGGCAGCAGUGGGGAAUUUUGGACAAUGGACGCAAGUCUGAUCCAGCAAUGCCGCGUGCAGGACGAAGGCCUUCGGGUUGUAAACUGCUUUUGUACAGAACGAAAAGGUCUCUAUUAAUACUAGGGGCUCAUGACGGUACUGUAAGAAUAAGCACCGGCUAACUACGUG